GGUCGGCUGUUAACCGAUUUUAGUCGUAGGUUCAAAUCCUACUUGGGGAGAUCCUUUUUCUCUAAAGGCUUUAU
RNAcentral lists this transfer RNA (74 nucleotides) under Ephedra przewalskii. RNAcentral's name for it is "tRNA-Asn". Lineage: Eukaryota; Viridiplantae; Streptophyta; Gnetopsida; Ephedrales; Ephedraceae. The record is from RNAcentral.